GCGCCUGUAGCUCAAUUGGAUAGAGCACCAGACUUCGGAUCUGGGGGUUGGGGGUUCGAGUCCCUCCGGGCGCGCCA
This 77-nucleotide transfer RNA is filed under the name Armatimonadetes bacterium CG2_30_66_41. RNAcentral's name for it is "tRNA-Arg". It matches the Rfam family "tRNA". Rfam says of the family: Transfer RNA (tRNA) molecules are approximately 80 nucleotides in length. Their secondary structure includes four short double-helical elements and three loops (D, anti-codon, and T loops). Lineage: Bacteria; Bacillati; Armatimonadota. RNAcentral also lists the same sequence under 6 other names. The record is from RNAcentral.